Molecule: ribosomal RNA, 229 nt
Filed under: uncultured bacterium
Lineage: Bacteria
Description: partial 16S ribosomal RNA
Rfam family: Bacterial small subunit ribosomal RNA
Source: RNAcentral
CGGGGUGGAGUAAUGUCUGGGAAACUGCCUGAUGGAGGGGGAUAACUGCUGGAAACGGUAGCUAAUACCGCAUAACGUCGCAAGACCAAAGAGGGGGACCUUCGGGCCUCUUGCCAUCGGAUGUGCCCAGAUGGGAUUAGCUAGUAGGUGGGGUAACGGCUCACCUAGGCGACGAUCCCUAGCUGGUCUGAGAGGAUGACCAGCCACACUGGAACUGAGCACGGUCCAG